Molecule: non-coding RNA, 220 nt
Organism: Pelobates cultripes (western spadefoot toad)
Lineage: Eukaryota; Metazoa; Chordata; Amphibia; Anura; Pelobatidae
Source: the annotation of a GenBank genome assembly
CGUCCGGUUACUGGGAGAUUUGGGAUAUUGCCUUGCUUUUCAGCGCUGACUGUGGAUUACUGUAUGUACCACCGGAAUUCGUGGGAUUUAAUAUUGCCAGUCCGCUACACCCACUUCCAGCGAUACAGCUGCCCCAAGGUCUCGCCGUCUCCACCCACCCUGGAUCCACAACCAGGAUCCAGCUCCCAGUGGGUGAACCUCUCCUAAAUCCAGAGAGCGU